Molecule: ribosomal RNA, 403 nt
Filed under: bacterium
Lineage: Bacteria
Description: partial 16S ribosomal RNA
Rfam family: Bacterial small subunit ribosomal RNA
Source: RNAcentral
UGGGGAAUAUUGCACAAUGGAGGGAACUCUGAUGCAGCGACGCCGCGUGAACGAAGAAGGCUUUCGAGUCGUAAAGUUCUUUUAUAUGGGAAGAUAAUGACGGUACCAUAAGAAAAAGCCCCGGCUAACUACGUGCCAGCAGCCGCGGUAAUACGUAGGGGGCUAGCGUUGUCCGGAAUCACUGGGCGUAAAGUGUUCGCAGGCGGAAAUGCAAGUCAGGUGUAAAAGGCAGUAGCUUAACUACUGUAAGCAUUUGAAACAGCAUAUCUUGAGAAGAGUAGAGGUAAGUGGAAUUUUUAGUGUAGCGGUGAAAUGCGUAGAUAUUAAAAAGAAUACCGGUGGCGAAGGCGAGUUACUGGGCUCAAUCUGACGCAGAGGAACGAAAGCGUGGGUAGCAAACAAG